Long non-coding RNA from Arabidopsis thaliana (thale cress), 831 nucleotides. RefSeq annotates it as other RNA. The transcript is spliced from 2 exons. Lineage: Eukaryota; Viridiplantae; Streptophyta; Magnoliopsida; Brassicales; Brassicaceae. The record is from RefSeq.
CAAACCCACACGGCGCCGUGCCAGGAAGACUACCUACCGGAAACGGAAUCGCUCCGUUAUCUCCACCGAACCAUCCAUCCUCCGCCACUUCAUCUCCACCGCUGAGAUCGGAAUCACUAUCCCACUCCAUUUGAUUUUGCAUACACACCCACAAAAUAAAGCUUAAGCCCACUAAUCUUCUUCCUCAGCAACAGGAGAAGAGACCCAGAAGAACAAAGUUUGAUUUUGAAUCGAGGAAUCUGAUAUCUGUAGGUAAUCGAAGUCUCCACAGGAAAAAAGUUCCAAACUUUAGACAAACCCAGAAAUCGUCUUCUUCAGGAACAGGAGAUAGAAGAACAGAUUUUGAAAUGGAAUCGAGCGAAGAAAAGAGGAAUCUGAUAUUUGUAGGUAAUGGAAGUCUCCACCGCCCACUUCUAAGAGGAGGAGAAGAAGAAGAAGAGAGAUGAUUCGGUCGGUCGAUGACUCGGCUCUUCUCAGUGCCUCUCCUUUUCCAUCUUUAACCAGACCGGUUUCUUAAUUUUACCUUACCGGUUUAGUUUAUCUAUCCGGUUUACACAAAAUAUCCUUAAUAGCUUCAAGCCAAUCAAUAUUUUCCUCUUCUUCUAGAGCAACAAAAGCCGAUGCAUAGUUGGCUUGAGCAAGACAUCGUACUGCAGCCCGCCAGAAUGGUGUACGCUUCGGGACAUCAAGACGUCUAAGAGCGUUAAUAACAUCUUGAUACAAAAGUACAACACCCCGUCUUUCACGAUACUCCGUAAUAAAGUUUCCACUAUUUUCGAUCACGCUUUCAAUGAUAGACCUUCUUCGAGGUUGCCUUGCACGUCUAGAAGA